This 482-nucleotide ribosomal RNA is filed under the name uncultured bacterium. Its description in RNAcentral is "bacterial SSU rRNA". It matches the Rfam family "Bacterial small subunit ribosomal RNA", at positions 1 to 523 of the family's 1533-position model. The record is from RNAcentral.
UGGGCCCGAGUUUGAUCCUGGCUCAGAGCGAACGCUGGCGGCAGGCCUAACACAUGCAAGUCGAGCGCCCGUAGCAAUACGGGAGCGGCAGACGGGGGAGUAACACGUGGGAACGCGCCCUUCGGUUCGGAAUAACUCAGGGAAACUUGAGCUAAUACCGGAUACGCCCUUACGGGGAAAGAUUUAUUGCCGAAGGAACGGCCCGCGUCCGAUUAGCUAGUUGGUGAGGUAAUGGCUCACCAAGGCGACGAUCGGUAGCUGGUCUGAGAGGAUGACCAGCCUCACUGGGACUGAGACACGGCCCAGACUCCUACGGGAGGCAGCAGUGGGGAAUAUUGGACAAUGGGCGCAAGCCUGAUCCAGCCAUGCCGCGUGGAUGAUGAAGGCCCUAGGGUUGUAAACCUCUUUCAGCAGGGACGAAGCGAAAGUGACUGUACCUGCAGAAGAAGCACCGGCUAACUACGUGCCAGCAGCCGCGGUUA